Molecule: long non-coding RNA, 900 nt
Filed under: Homo sapiens (human)
Lineage: Eukaryota; Metazoa; Chordata; Mammalia; Primates; Hominidae
Description: HSALNT0265410
Source: RNAcentral
UAAUAAUAAUAAUAAUAAUAAUAAUAGUGAAGGCCUGGACUGGGUAGAGGAAGAAACUGAUCCAAAACAAACGUGCAAUGAGGCCUCAGCCAAUUCCUGGGGGGCAGAUCUGGCUGUGUACAGCAGUUCCUGAAUAAUGUUGGUUCAUUCGAUGUUCUUUCCUUAUAACGUUGAUGAGAAAACAAUUGAUUUGCACCUGGGGCCACCAUCUGUGUGUAUUUGCACAACCUCCCCAUAGCUGCAUGGGUUUUCUCUGAGUACUCUAGUUUGCUCUCUCAUUCCAAAGUCAUGCACAUUAGGUUAAUUGGCAUGUCUACAUGGACUCAGUGUGAGUGAAUGUGAGCAUGGGUGUGAGUGUGCUCUGCCAUGAGAGAUUGUCCUGUUCAGGGCUGGUUCCCACCUCACUCCGUGAGCUGCUGGGAUGGGCUCUGGCCACCCAUGACCAUGAACUGGAAAUAAGCAGGUAAAGAAUUAUCUUACUUGGUUUUAUUAAUCUUUCUUAAAUGUAUGUAUAGUUCACAUUUAUUUCAAUGUUUAAUAUUAGAAAUGUUUUGCCUUUAUUUAGAAGUUUGGUAUUUUGUGAUCAGAAAUCUGCCAUAGGAACUUCAUUAUAGUUUAUAUCAAUUAGCCUAUGGAAAAAUUGUUUUUGUUAUAUGUCAUUUUGCUUAAAGCUGCAGUUUCCAGGACUCUAUCAACAACAUUAAGUGAGGACUUUGUGUGAUUUGCGGGGCCAAGUGCAAAAUGAAAUUGUAGGGUACCUUGUUCAAAAUGCAAGAAAAAAGUGUCAUUAGAGGUACAGAAACACACUUUUUUUUUCUAUCUGUGGUGUCUCAAAUUGUUAUGGUGGUGUUAUUUUCUUCUAAAUGUCUUUUUAAGGAAAGAAAAAUAAAAAUUUAAAUU